This 752-nucleotide ribosomal RNA is filed under the name Alteromonas marina. Its description in RNAcentral is "bacterial SSU rRNA". It matches the Rfam family "Bacterial small subunit ribosomal RNA", at positions 396 to 1142 of the family's 1533-position model. Lineage: Bacteria; Pseudomonadati; Pseudomonadota; Gammaproteobacteria; Alteromonadales; Alteromonadaceae. The record is from RNAcentral.
GCCGCGUGUGUGAAGAAGGCCUUCGGGUUGUAAAGCACUUUCAGUUGUGAGGAAAAGUUAGUAGUUAAUACCUGCUAGCCGUGACGUUAACAACAGAAGAAGCACCGGCUAACUCCGUGCCAGCAGCCGCGGUAAUACGGAGGGUGCGAGCGUUAAUCGGAAUUACUGGGCGUAAAGCGCACGCAGGCGGUUUGUUAAGCUAGAUGUGAAAGCCCCGGGCUCAACCUGGGAUGGUCAUUUAGAACUGGCAGACUAGAGUCUUGGAGAGGGGAGUGGAAUUCCAGGUGUAGCGGUGAAAUGCGUAGAUAUCUGGAGGAACAUCAGUGGCGAAGGCGACUCCCUGGCCAAAGACUGACGCUCAUGUGCGAAAGUGUGGGUAGCGAACAGGAUUAGAUACCCUGGUAGUCCACACCGUAAACGCUGUCUACUAGCUGUGUGUGCCUUUAAGGCGUGCGUAGCGAAGCUAACGCGCUAAGUAGACCGCCUGGGGAGUACGGCCGCAAGGUUAAAACUCAAAUGAAUUGACGGGGGCCCGCACAAGCGGUGGAGCAUGUGGUUUAAUUCGAUGCAACGCGAAGAACCUUACCUACACUUGACAUGCUGAGAAGUUACUAGAGAUAGUUUCGUGCCUUCGGGAACUCAGACACAGGUGCUGCAUGGCUGUCGUCAGCUCGUGUCGUGAGAUGUUGGGUUAAGUCCCGCAACGAGCGCAACCCUUGUCCUUAGUUGCCAGCCUUAAGUUGGGCACUCUA